Molecule: ribosomal RNA, 366 nt
Filed under: Zangia chlorinosma
Lineage: Eukaryota; Fungi; Basidiomycota; Agaricomycetes; Boletales; Boletaceae
Description: LSU rRNA
Rfam family: Bacterial large subunit ribosomal RNA
Source: RNAcentral
UAGUUUUUAAUAACUACCUAUUAAUUUAUUUAUAUGGGGGCACAAAAUCGGAAGCCCCGACUGUUUACUAAAAACACAACUAUCUGCAAUUAUGAAAAUAAUAGUAUAGGUAGUGAGAUUUGCCCAAUGCCAAAUUAAUAAGUAAUAAUAAUAGGUAACUGUUUCUUUACAAAAAAUUGGUUAAUAGCGGUCUUAACUAUGAGGAUCCUAAGGUAGCAAAAUAAAUUGGCCAUUAAAUGUGGUCCAGUAUCAAUAAUUUAACGAUGGCUUCACUGUCUCUACAACUUGCUCAGUGAAAUUGAAUUACCCGUGCAGAUGCGGGUUACCUCAAAGAGGACGGGAAGACCCUAUGCAGCUUCUACUGAC